Molecule: long non-coding RNA, 270 nt
Filed under: Homo sapiens (human)
Lineage: Eukaryota; Metazoa; Chordata; Mammalia; Primates; Hominidae
Description: long non-coding RNA NONHSAT245911
Source: RNAcentral
UUUUUAUUUCUUACUUUCCCAUAUUAGGGGUGAUAGCCAAAGGGGUUCUGGUAAGAGAAAGGGGGACAAACAGAACUGGUAAAGAGGCCCCCCUGGCUCCAGGCCUGUCCAUCAGGAAGUAAAUUUUACAGGGCACCAAGCUUUGCCCCCUAAAAUCCAUUAGGUGUUCUUUGUUCAUGCAGGCAGGUUUCUGCCGCAUUUGAUGUGGAGGCAGUGAAGGGCUUGCCCUGCUGGCCUCUCAUCCCCCUUCUUCCCACAACCCUUGGGCAG